RNAcentral lists this ribosomal RNA (334 nucleotides) under Streptococcus pneumoniae. Its description in RNAcentral is "partial 23S ribosomal RNA". It matches the Rfam family "Bacterial large subunit ribosomal RNA", at positions 1376 to 1709 of the family's 2925-position model. Lineage: Bacteria; Bacillati; Bacillota; Bacilli; Lactobacillales; Streptococcaceae. The record is from RNAcentral.
UGGGUUAGUCGGGACCUAAGGAGAGACCGAAAGGUGUAUCCGAUGGACAACAGGUUGAUAUUCCUGUACUAGAGUAUGUAGUGAUGGAGGGACGCAGUAGGCUAACUAAAGCAGACGAUUGGAAGAGUCUGUCUAAGCAGUGAGGUGUGAAUUGAGUCAAAUGCUUAAUUCUAUAACAUUGAGCUGUGAUGGGGAGCGAAGUUUAGUAGCGAAGUUAGUGACGUCACACUGCCAAGAAAAGCUUCUAGCGUUUAAACAUACUCUACCCGUACCGCAAACCGACACAGGUAGUCGAGGCGAGUAGCCUCAGGUGAGCGAGAGAACUCUCGUUAAG